UACGGGGGGGGCAAGCGUUGUUCGGAAUUACUGGGCGUAAAGGGCUCGUAGGCGGCCAACUAAGUCAGACGUGAAAUCCCUCGGCUUAACCGGGGAACUGCGUCUGAUACUGGAUGGCUUGAAUCCGGGAGAGGGAUGCGGAAUUCCAGGUGUAGCGGUGAAAUGCGCAGAUAUCUGGAAGAACACCCGUGGCGAAGGCGGUUUCCUGGGACGGUACUGACGCUGAGACGCGAAAGCGUGGGGAGCGAACAGG
RNAcentral lists this ribosomal RNA (253 nucleotides) under uncultured bacterium. RNAcentral's name for it is "partial 16S ribosomal RNA". It matches the Rfam family "Bacterial small subunit ribosomal RNA", at positions 524 to 776 of the family's 1533-position model. The record is from RNAcentral.